GAGGGGGCAAGCGUUGUUCGGAAUUACUGGGCGUAAAGGGCGCGUAGGCGGCCUGCAAAGUCGAACGUGAAAUCCCCGGGCUCAACCCGGGAACUGCGUCCGAGACUGACAGGCUUGAAUCCGGGAGAGGGAUGUGGAAUUCCAGGUGUAGCGGUGAAAUGCGUAGAUAUCUGGAGGAACAUCGGUGGCGAAGGCGGCAUCCUGGACCGGUAUUGACGCUGAGGCGCGAAAGCCAGGGGAGCAAACGGGAUUAGAUACCCCGGUAGUCCUGGCCCUAAACGAUGAAUGCUUGGUGUGGUGGGUAUCGAUCCCCGCCGUGCCGAAGCUAACGCAUUAAGCAUUCCGCCUGGGGAGUACGGUCGCAAGGCUG
RNAcentral lists this ribosomal RNA (370 nucleotides) under uncultured organism. RNAcentral's name for it is "bacterial SSU rRNA". It matches the Rfam family "Bacterial small subunit ribosomal RNA", at positions 528 to 896 of the family's 1533-position model. The record is from RNAcentral.